RNAcentral lists this transfer RNA (74 nucleotides) under Sulfobacillus harzensis. RNAcentral's name for it is "Sulfobacillus sp. DSM 109850 tRNA-Trp". It matches the Rfam family "tRNA". From Rfam's summary of the family: Transfer RNA (tRNA) molecules are approximately 80 nucleotides in length. Lineage: Bacteria; Bacillati; Bacillota; Clostridia; Eubacteriales; Clostridiales Family XVII. Incertae Sedis. The record is from RNAcentral.
AGGCGCGUCGUUCAACGGUAGGACAGCGGUCUCCAAAACCGCCAAUGCGGGUUCAACUCCUGCCGCGUCUGCCA